ACUCCUACGGGAGGCAGCAGUAAGGAAUCUUCCACAAUGGACGAAAGUCUGAUGGAGCAACACCGCGUGCAAGAUGACGGCCUUCGGGUUGUAAACUGCUUUUAUAUGGGAAGAUUAUGACGGUACCAUAGAAUA
RNAcentral lists this ribosomal RNA (135 nucleotides) under uncultured bacterium. RNAcentral's name for it is "partial 16S ribosomal RNA". It matches the Rfam family "Bacterial small subunit ribosomal RNA", at positions 335 to 487 of the family's 1533-position model. The record is from RNAcentral.